This is a long non-coding RNA of Brienomyrus brachyistius, 1050 nucleotides long. RefSeq lists it as uncharacterized. NCBI's taxonomy places the organism in Eukaryota, Metazoa, Chordata, Actinopteri, Osteoglossiformes, Mormyridae. The transcript is spliced from 3 exons. The record is from RefSeq and is a predicted model, not a curated record.
AUUUGCAGCCAUUAACUCAUAGGUGGUAGUAACACUGAAAUUACUUUCUCUGCGUCAAAAUAAGGGCGCAGGAGCCGUUGCUGUCUGUCCGAUGGAGGAACUUCAGCUGGGGCCUCCUCCUCGUAGCUCCUUCUUCCUCCAGCGUGGGUAGCCUGUCCCUCCCGCUCCACGGACGAACCCUCUGGCCCUGGUGAUUUUCUUCUCUUCCAGUCUGGACAGCCGGUUGUUAAAACAAGGAAAGAUUAUUGAUAUAACACAUUUUAUGCUCUAAUUAAAGUGCUCUAAUAAAGUCUCUUAAGCCAGGGCUUUACCUUCGGCAUGUCAGGCACCCUUCGUGUCAAUCGAGGCUUUUCCGUCUCUUCCUUCUUUAUCACACCUUCCUUCGUUGAUAUUUUCACUUUAAUUAUGAUUUUAAUUUUAAUCUUAACUAUUUUGCUGUCGUUGUUCUCCAUUGUGAAGACUCUCUUCAAAAUACAAGCUUUCCCUCAGAUGAUCGGAAGAAGUGUGAGAAGAUAAGUACAUGUGAUUCAAAAGUAAUUAAGCUGUUGUCACGGACGCCCAUUCGUACCAUAACAGACAAUGCGGUGCUAUGCAGCUCGUCGGUGACUUUCGGCCGCGUUCGGCUCCGACUGACCGGUCGUAGGUCCGAUUCGGCUGUAAGCAGGUUGCCAACUCUGACGCAUCUGGCGCGAGACUCGGGCUUUCAGACUCAAACGCACACAGCAAUAAAUCUUAUGGAGAAUCUCUAUUAAUCCAUUUAAAACCUAAAACUGGCUACAUCAAAAGUGUUUGGGCAGUUUGCAAAUCCUAAAGAUGAUUUACAAGUUGGGGCAGAGACUGUCAUACGCUCUGGGUAUCACUCACAGCCAGAUGCCGCGCUACAGUGAAAGAUUUACAAAUGUGACAAAAGGUCUUCUGUUUGUCCAUUAAUUCCUACAUAGAGUUUUAAUCCCGUUUACAUGAAAAGAUGUACUUAUUGUGUCCCUGACUAUUCCAAAUUUCUUUUUGCAGCAAACUGACAAACCGAAUAAGCCCAGGACACUGGAAAAU